GAUUUCUGGCUUGGUGCGCCUGGCCCACUGCCUUCAGGUACGUGAGUGCCGGUGCGCGCCUGCCAUCCCUUCUAGAAAACGAUUCUGCCCUUCACUGGGCCGGAGUCGCGAUCUAGAUCUUUUACUUUGAAAAAAUUAGAGUGUUCAAAGCAGGCUUGCGCUAUGAAUACAUUAGCAUGGAAUAAUAAUUUAGGACUUUUGUCCUAUUUUGUUGGUUUCUAGGACGAAAGUAAUGAUUGAUAGGGAUAGUUGGGGGUGCUAGUAUUCAGCGGCCAGAGGUGAAAUUCUCGGAUUCGCUGAAGACUAACUUAUGCGAAAGCAUU
Molecule: ribosomal RNA, 323 nt
Filed under: uncultured Cercozoa
Lineage: Eukaryota; Cercozoa
Description: SSU rRNA
Rfam family: Eukaryotic small subunit ribosomal RNA (bases 106-323)
Source: RNAcentral